GACGGGGGGUCCUAGCGUUGUUCGGAAUUAUUGGGCGUAAAGCGUGUGCAGGUUGUCUGAAAAGUUAGAUGUGAAAUCCUUGGGCUCAACCCAAGACGUGCAUUUAAAACUGCCAGACUUGAAUAUCGAAGAGGUUCGUGGAAUUCCAGGUGUAGUGGUGAAAUACGUAGAUAUCUGGAGGAACACCGGCGGCGAAGGCGGCGAACUGGUCGAAUAUUGACACUCAUACACGAAAGCGUGGGGAUCAAACAGGAGUUAGAAAACCCCAGUUA
This 272-nucleotide ribosomal RNA is filed under the name uncultured bacterium. RNAcentral's name for it is "partial 16S ribosomal RNA". It matches the Rfam family "Bacterial small subunit ribosomal RNA", at positions 524 to 792 of the family's 1533-position model. The record is from RNAcentral.